Molecule: ribosomal RNA, 274 nt
Filed under: uncultured bacterium
Lineage: Bacteria
Description: partial 16S ribosomal RNA
Rfam family: Bacterial small subunit ribosomal RNA
Source: RNAcentral
AUACGGAGGGUGCAAGCGUUAUUCGGAAUCACUGGGCGUAAAGGGUGCGUAGGCGGUUUGAUAAGUCUGAUGUGAAAUCCUAUGGCUCAACCAUAGAACUGCAUUGGAUACUGUCAGACUAGAAUACUGAAGGGGCAGAUGGAAUUAGUGGUGUAGGGGUAAAAUCCGUAGAUAUCACUAGGAAUACCGAAAGCGAAAGCGAUCUGCUGGGAAGUUAUUGACGCUGAGGCACGAAAGCGUGGGGAGCAAACGGGAUUAGAAACCCUAGUAGUCC